GCCCUGACUGCAUUUCCGCCGGCGCCCGAGCGAUGAAGGGUGGGUCCUGCAUCCGAGGCAUCCCCGAUCCAUCCAGCAUCUUCUCGCGCAGUCUUCUUCGACCCGCUGCCACAGUCCCGGCGCCCCAGGCCCUGCGCAGAUGAAGACCCUCCCUCGGACGGCUUUGCGGGCCCUGCCUCAGCCGGCGCCCCCUUCUCUCCUGCAGGACCCGGACCCCCACUGCAGGGGCUGAGUGCCCCCUGGGUCGGCGUCUGAGUCUUGCCUCCCCGUAGGCUCAGUACCUGGCACGUGUCCAAGGCUCAGCAGCUGUACCACAACCACCCAACAGGAGAGAAGGAAAGGAGAGGUGCACCCCGGGGAUGUGAGGAGGCAGCACCGGGCAGAGGGGCCCUUGAGAGAUGUCACCAUCCUGUUAAGAAAGGGCUGGACCACAGCGCUGCAGAGGCCUCUCCUGUCUGGGCCACGGGGAAGGCUUUGUGCAGGACUGGAAGCAGUUGCUGGGUCCUUGGGCUCCACUGGGUUCACUACUCCCAGGCCUUUUCCAUGGGCCUCCUUUUCCAGCAAGCCCCCGUCUUUCCCUGCCC
This 584-nucleotide long non-coding RNA is filed under the name Sus scrofa (pig). RNAcentral describes it as "lncRNA (ENSSSCG00030013376.1)". Lineage: Eukaryota; Metazoa; Chordata; Mammalia; Artiodactyla; Suidae. The record is from RNAcentral.